GGGGAUAUAGCUCAGCUGGGAGAGCACCUGCCUUGCAAGCAGGGGGUCAGGGGUUCAAAUCCCCUUAUCUCCA
This 73-nucleotide transfer RNA is filed under the name Thermospira aquatica. RNAcentral describes it as "Spirochaetales bacterium F1F22 tRNA-Ala". It matches the Rfam family "tRNA". Rfam says of the family: Transfer RNA (tRNA) molecules are approximately 80 nucleotides in length. Their secondary structure includes four short double-helical elements and three loops (D, anti-codon, and T loops). Further hydrogen bonds mediate the characteristic L-shaped molecular structure. tRNAs have two regions of fundamental functional importance: the anti-codon, which is responsible for specific mRNA codon recognition, and the 3' end, to which the tRNAs corresponding amino acid is attached (by aminoacyl-tRNA synthetases). tRNAs cope with the degeneracy of the genetic code in two manners: having more than one tRNA (with a specific anti-codon) for a particular amino acid; and 'wobble' base-pairing, i.e. permitting non-standard base-pairing at the 3rd anti-codon position. The record is from RNAcentral. Lineage: Bacteria; Pseudomonadati; Spirochaetota; Spirochaetia; Brevinematales; Thermospiraceae.